RNAcentral lists this non-coding RNA (695 nucleotides) under Microporella sp. BLEED387. Lineage: Eukaryota; Metazoa; Bryozoa; Gymnolaemata; Cheilostomatida; Microporellidae. The record is from RNAcentral.
UUAGAGCUUUGCUCUGGCUCAUUAUUACAUUAUUUCCUUUAACGCAUAUGCCAGCAUCCGCCAAUUUGCUAAAAGCAAUUAAAUAGCAGUGCAGAAAAUUUUGAAAUAAGUGAAAGCUUGAAAAAGAAAAGGAAAAUUAAGGGUGGAAAAUUUUGUGCCAGCAUCCGCGGUUACACAAAAACCCUAAGUGUAAUUAAUACAAAUUAUAUGGGGAAAUCUUUAAAGUUGAAUUAUAAAAGAAUCCCUAUCCCCCUAAAAGUGAAAGUUAACCUGGAGACCAGGAUUAGAUACCCUGCUACCCAUAACAUUAACCCUAAGGGCAUUAAAAGAACCCUUAAAACCUAAAGAGCUUGGCGGUUUUCCGAAUAAUCAGGGAAGCCUGUGGAAUAAACGAUAAUCCACGAAAACCACCAUUUUUAAAAGCUUGUAUACCUCCGUCCAGUUAAUCUUUAAGAGAAUUAGCGCCUAUGAGUAAUAAUACGUCAGGUCAAGGUGCAGCCUAUAAAAAGGAUUUUGAUUGGCUGCGCAUAAAAAAUAAUUUUUUUUUAAUAAAAAAGAAAUAAACAGUACUUGAAAGUAAUUUUUUUUUAAAAAGAAAAAAUGAAACUUAACCCGGGAGAUGUACAAAUCGCCCGUCGUUCCCCCCCAAAGGGGGGAAAAGUCGUAACAAAGUUGGAGUACUGGAAAGUGCCCCA